This 317-nucleotide long non-coding RNA is filed under the name Octopus vulgaris (common octopus). Lineage: Eukaryota; Metazoa; Mollusca; Cephalopoda; Octopoda; Octopodidae. The record is from RNAcentral.
UUCAUGUAGACAACAAUGAUGUUUGUGUGAAUUUAGUUUUAUUCCCUUUUCUGAUCAACAACUUCUGUGAAGUUGUUCUCAUCAUAAUUUAUCUUCUUGUUAUUAUCUCCUUUAACCAAUUGUAUGCUUCAUAUAUCAAAUCCAAAAAUUCUAUAAUUAUUAGAAUCUCUGGAGAGACGUGUCUUGUAACCACAUAGCAUGGACUAAUUUUUUAACUGAAGUGCUGGAUUUGUCAAUGUAGUUUGCCUACAUCCCAUCAUUAGAUCACUAAUGUAAUGUGUCUUUGAAUAAAAUCAAAUUCAAUAAUGUAGUUGAAA